Molecule: ribosomal RNA, 296 nt
Filed under: uncultured Spirochaeta sp.
Lineage: Bacteria; Pseudomonadati; Spirochaetota; Spirochaetia; Spirochaetales; Spirochaetaceae
Description: partial 16S ribosomal RNA
Rfam family: Bacterial small subunit ribosomal RNA
Source: RNAcentral
CCCGCAACGAGCGCAACCCUCGCUGUCUGUUGCCACCACGAGAGGUGGGGACUCAGGCGGAACUGCCGGUGACAAACCGGAGGAAGGUGGGGACGACGUCAAGUCAUCAUGGCCCUUAUGUCCUGGGCUACACACGUGCUACAAUGGCCGGUACAGAGCGCAGCGAGGCCGCGAGGCGGAGCGAAUCGCUUAAAGCCGGUCCCAGUACGGAUUGGAGUCUGCAACCCGACUCCAUGAAGUUGGAAUCGCUAGUAAUCGCGCAUCAGCAUGGCGCGGUGAAUACGUUCCCGGGCCUU